GAAACAUAUAAGUGGUUGCUUGUGAAAUAAACAACUGGACAAAAGCAAGAUUAGUUAUUCUUUGUUUAGAUGACAAAAUAUCAUUAUUACACAUUCUUUUGACUUCAACCUUAAAAAUCUAUCAACAACAAAAACAAGAAUCUAGAUACACAUCACUCAUUAGAAAUCACCAUUCAAAGUUUAGUUUAAUUGCACAUAUUGGCAGACCAACUAGAUUACAUAUCCUAAAAGACCAACGAAUGCAGGAUCUAU
RNAcentral lists this unclassified non-coding RNA (252 nucleotides) under Hevea brasiliensis (rubber tree). The record is from RNAcentral. Lineage: Eukaryota; Viridiplantae; Streptophyta; Magnoliopsida; Malpighiales; Euphorbiaceae.